UACGUAGGUGGCAAGCGUUGUCCGGAUUUACUGGGCGUAAAGCGCGCGCAGGCGGCCUGUCGCGUCUGGGGUGAAAUCUCCCGGCUCAACCGGGAGAGGUCUCCGGAUACGGGCAGGCUUGAGGGGAGCAGAGGAGAGUAGAAUUCCCGGUGUAGCGGUGAUAUGCGUAGAUAUCGGGAGGAACACCAGUGGCAAAGGCGGCUCUCUGGGCUCUCCCUGACGCUGAGGCGCGAAAGCGUGGGUAGCAAACCGG
This 253-nucleotide ribosomal RNA is filed under the name uncultured bacterium. RNAcentral describes it as "partial 16S ribosomal RNA". It matches the Rfam family "Bacterial small subunit ribosomal RNA", at positions 524 to 776 of the family's 1533-position model. The record is from RNAcentral.